RNAcentral lists this ribosomal RNA (449 nucleotides) under uncultured bacterium. RNAcentral describes it as "bacterial SSU rRNA". It matches the Rfam family "Bacterial small subunit ribosomal RNA", at positions 354 to 796 of the family's 1533-position model. The record is from RNAcentral.
GUCGAGAAUUUUUCACAAUGGGCGAAAGCCUGAUGGAGCGACGCCGCGUGGGGGAUGAAUGGCUUCGGCCCGUAAACCCCUGUCAUUUGCGAUCAAACCUUACGACCCAAUACGUCGUGAGUUGAUGGUAGCGAAAGAGGAAGGGACGGCUAACUCUGUGCCAGCAGCCGCGGUAAUACAGAGGUCCCAAGCGUUGUUCGGAUUCACUGGGCGUAAAGGGUGCGUAGGCGGUCGGGUAAGUCUGACGUGAAAUCUCCAAGCUCAACUUGGAAAUGGCGUCGGAUACUAUCCGGCUCGAGGAAUGGAGGGGAGACUGGAAUACUUGGUGUAGCAGUGAAAUGCGUAGAUAUCAAGUGGAACACCAGUGGCGAAGGCGAGUCUCUGGACAUUUCCUGACGCUGAGGCACGAAAGCCAGGGGAGCAAACGGGAUUAGAAACCCCGGUAGUCC